CAUCUCACCACCAACAACCCGCGCUGCUUGAGUCACGCUCGCGCAGACGGUGGCAGCUCGGAACAAGUUCAACUUCUUAAAGUUUCUCGAUCGGACGCCCACGGUCGUGUUGUGAGGCAUCGAUCGAGCUCCAGCAUGAAGCUCCUGUGGCGGAUCAUCUCCUUAGCGCUCUUCUUGCAGCUUGUCAGUGCUACAGACCUUCAGUGCACCGUCACCCGGGACGCAGACAGAACCCAUUACAGUGUCCCACAGUUCACUGGAGAAGCCUGUGACUUCCGCUGGUGGAACCAGACGGUGAACCAAGUCGCUACCUGCACCUUCAACUGCAGCGUAAACUCCGAGGAUCCACAGAAAGAAGGUGCUAAACUUUCCAUUCCAUUCCAACUCUGAUUAAACAGAACAAUAGAAACAACUUAAGAACCCAAAUUAUAAAGUCAAAGCAGUGAAACCGCGGCUCCACAUUAAGAAGUGAAUUAAAAGAGAUGUCAGAUUGGGAUCCGGAGGGUUGAACUUUCUGUUCUAUUGGCAGAGUCUCACACAAUGGAUGGUGGUCUCAUUGCUGCCGUGCUGGUUUCGGUUCUGGUUCUGGUCCUGGUUCUGGUUCUGGUUCUUGUGUGCUACACGGUCAAAGCUGACAGGUAACAACACGUUAAAUCUGAUUCCGUUAUGUUCCUUGCUUCGUACUUAACCGAUGAGAGAAAACGAAUAUGUUGAAUGAAGUAUUUAAAGUGCGUAUAUGUUUUUAAUAACAUUCCCUUCUCUUCAUCUGUCGUCUUCAACUGAGUGGCGGUGUUUCUCCACAUGGCCGCGUAACUUUUAAGACACUGAAUAGGAAACUUCUCUCCUGUUGCUGUGGUUCUGCAGGAGAAAGAGCGGCCGCGGCUCCCCCCACACUGACAGCACCGAGGAAGUUCUUGCCAUUGUGUGAAGAUGCCAAUGCUACCAGAAAUAUUCCACUUUACUUUUAAACACUUUAUCUCCAUUUACUCUGCACAUGAAUUUUAGCUUAAUAUAUAUUUCUAUAUGACUAACUUUGCCCUAUUUUUCCAUUUAAGAACUUAUUGGGGUCCAAAUAUGGCCCUGUGGUGUUCCCUUUGUGGUCAGGGUUUUUUUCCCAAAGGAACU
Molecule: long non-coding RNA, 1125 nt
Organism: Gasterosteus aculeatus aculeatus (three-spined stickleback)
Lineage: Eukaryota; Metazoa; Chordata; Actinopteri; Perciformes; Gasterosteidae
Source: Ensembl